UACAGAGGGUGCAAGCGUUGUUCGGAAUCAUUGGGCGUAAAGGGCGUGCAGGCGGUUUGUUAAGUGCAGGGUGAAAGCUCCCGGCUCAACUGGGAGAGGUCCUUGCAUACUGGCAAACUCGAGGGAGGCAGAGGAAAGUGGAAUUCCCGGUGUAGUGGUGAUAUGCGUAGAUAUCGGGAGGAACACCUGUGGCGAAGGCGGCUUUCUGGGCCUUACCUGACGCUGAGACGCGAAAGCGUGGGGAGCGAACCGG
Molecule: ribosomal RNA, 253 nt
Filed under: uncultured bacterium
Lineage: Bacteria
Description: partial 16S ribosomal RNA
Rfam family: Bacterial small subunit ribosomal RNA
Source: RNAcentral